AUGAGUGAUGGGCUCCGGCCCGACCUCCAACCCUUUGUCUUACCGACCAUGUUGCCUCGGGGGUGACCCUGCCUUCGUGCUUGGCCCCCCCGGUGGACCACUAAACUCUGCGUCACCUUUGCGUCUGAGUGAUUAUUUUAAUAAAUCA
This 148-nucleotide unclassified non-coding RNA is filed under the name soil metagenome. Its description in RNAcentral is "partial internal transcribed spacer 1". The record is from RNAcentral.